This is a non-coding RNA of Phasianus colchicus (ring-necked pheasant), 549 nucleotides long. NCBI's taxonomy places the organism in Eukaryota, Metazoa, Chordata, Aves, Galliformes, Phasianidae. The record is from RefSeq and is a predicted model, not a curated record.
GCUGCUGUUUUGGAACACAGUGCCAUACUUCUUCCCGUGUCUAUGGCUGGGGACCCCCAGCACCACGGUGAUCCUAUGCACCACUCUGGGUCUGUGUUCUGUGUCCCACUGAGGCCGUGGGGUGAUGGGAACCAGUCAGACCAGAGGGAAAAGUUGAUGGUCACCACUGGGCAGGGCUCACCGCUCGUGCUAACCAGCUCAACACAGCUCCAGGGCAGCAUCCACGUGUACCCACAGCUCUGCAAUGAGGGGUCUGAGGUCAUCUGCCAUGCUCCAUCCUGGUGACCCUGCUGGACUCACUCCCCUCAACCUGCUGCUAAGCAGCCCCAUAUUGGACCCAGUGCCUAGAUGGGACAUCACCAUCACCAAGCAAAGAGCAGGAAUCAAAGCCUGGUGAUAUUAGCUGCCCCCCACUAACACCACUCAAAGCACCGUUGGCUUUCAGCGCUGCAAACACACUCCAUCGACCCGAGGACAGCUUGCACCACCUCUCUUCACCUUCAGAACCCCUUUCCAGCUGACUGCUCCAACCUGACCAGUUCCACUUGU